Molecule: long non-coding RNA, 556 nt
Filed under: Anas platyrhynchos platyrhynchos (common mallard)
Lineage: Eukaryota; Metazoa; Chordata; Aves; Anseriformes; Anatidae
Description: lncRNA (ENSAPLG00000029260.1)
Source: RNAcentral
AUGACCAGGAAACUGUUUCAUAGAAGUCUCUUGAGUCUGCUAAUCUUGUUUAAACCUGUUCUAAGCAGGCAAUCAGAUGCUGCUGACACAUGUCAUCUGCUUCUGUCAGACUGGGACCAUUCAGCCCUGCCUGAAAUAGGAUAUGAGGCAGAAAAGCACAUGAAAAAAGAGAAGCUCAGGACAGGGCUGGAUGAGUGGCUCCUCUUCCAUGGGAUGAAUCCAUCCCACGUGCCUGCCAUCUGCGAGCAGAAUUUCAACUGGAGGAUCUGUGGCACUCAUGGGACAAUGCAUGGAAAAGAGAGAUGCCAGUUGCUCUCAUCAGUACUGCCCAUCCAGCACCAGCUACCACAGUGUGUUUGUAGCUCUAGAUGUCGUUCGAGACUUUGUUCAUGGCAACAAGGCCUACCUUUGCCCUCCACCUAGACCUGAGAUUUCAAACAGACUUUUGGACAGCUGUGUAGAUGAUCAAAAAAAUCCUUCAAUUUUUGUCAUCUUUGAGAAGAACCAGAUUUAUCCUGCCUGUAUCCUGGAGUAUACUUGUAGGAUGCUGUCAGAG